Canis lupus familiaris (dog) is the source of this 195-nucleotide long non-coding RNA. RefSeq lists it as uncharacterized. The record is from RefSeq and is a predicted model, not a curated record. The transcript is spliced from 2 exons. Lineage: Eukaryota; Metazoa; Chordata; Mammalia; Carnivora; Canidae.
CAUAAAUUCUGAGAUUCCACAAGAGCUGUUUUUAGAAGAGCCAUAGGAUAAUUCCUUAAGGCCUCUAGUUGUUCCUAAUAGACUGCCUUCCAGAAGAUCUCUAGUUUCCUGUUGGAUUGGGAUACCAUUUUCAGACUUCUGUCUCCAAAGCUGGAUUUUACUUAUGUAAGGAUAUUGUCAAGGAUAAACCCCAAG